GCCUGGUGUGGUGGCGCACACCUGUAAUCCCAGUGGCAUGGGAGGCUAAGGCAGGAGAAUCAUGAGUUCAAAGCCAGCCUUAG
This 83-nucleotide small RNA is filed under the name Marmota monax (woodchuck). The record is from RNAcentral. Lineage: Eukaryota; Metazoa; Chordata; Mammalia; Rodentia; Sciuridae.